Molecule: ribosomal RNA, 1677 nt
Filed under: Triticum aestivum (bread wheat)
Lineage: Eukaryota; Viridiplantae; Streptophyta; Magnoliopsida; Poales; Poaceae
Description: partial small subunit ribosomal RNA
Source: RNAcentral
AUGGAUCCCUCUCUCAAUUACGUCUCUCUCUUUCUCACAAACUCUCAGAUUUCUUCUCUCCUCACCUCAAAUUGCAGCAAGGACUCUUUUAUCCUCACCUCAAAUUGCAUCAAGGACUCUUCUAUCCUCACCUCAAAUUGCAGCAAGGACGUUGGGGCGUGGAUCUCCUACGCUCAACGAGUCUUUGAUUUGGCUAAGACUAUAACAAGUUCUAAUCUUCAAAAUUGUGUUCGCUUACAGGAUUCCUGGAAAGUGAAGGUCAGAGUAAUUAGGCUAUGGGACGCCAUUAACCUCAAUAACAAUGAACUAAUUAGCCUUGACAUGAUACUGCUUGAUGAACAGGGCACUAUGAUACAUGCCAAGGUAAUAAAACAUAUGGUUAACAAAUUCAGGCCAUUGAUCCAAGAAGUCAUAUCUGUUGGAAUAUACAGGGAUCAAAAAGUUAAUAUUAGACUGUGGGGUAAUAAGGUCGACCAAAUUGAUGAAGAUUCUAUGGGACGUGUUGUCAUAGUAACAUCAACAACUGUCAGAAAACUGAAAGGUGCGACCAAAGUAUAUAUCGAUUUGGAUAUCCCUGAAACAGCUGAGCUCCAAACGAGGUAUUGCUUGGAAGAUGAUAUCAUAGAGGAAACAGGGCCAGAAGCCCACUUGCAAGGAACAAUUCAAGAACAAAUGCUCUAUAACAGAAAGACACUAAGAGAAAUAACUGAAAUUGCAUAUGAAUCUGAAAAACAGGAAAAGUUCUAUACUGCAGAAGCAACCAUUAAGUCAAUUGAUACAUCAGAUGAGUGGUAUUACAUAGGAUGCGGCAAAUGUAACAAAAAACUACAAAAAGAAGGGAAUCAUUUCUACUGUCCAAAAUGUGAGAAAGAACCUGAGAAGACAUGUCCAAGGUACAAACUUAAGCUAGAGAUAUGUGAUCAUACUGCAACAACAACUUGCACCAUGUUUGAGACAGAAGCAAAAAAACUGAUUAAGCAAUCUGCAAGAUUCUUGAUAGAUAGGGAUGACUGUGAUAUCCAUGAGCAGGCAGAAAAAUUUCAGAAAAUAUGUGGGCAGAGAUUGAUUUUUCAGUUCAGACAGAAUGACUAUAAUUUCAAGUACGGUUACCAAGAUUACACUGUUCAUAGAAUAUUUUUUAUGGACUCUGAAGAAGAUUCAUCAGUACAACAUGUUAAUGUUGAACAGGAAUCUAGCCCCAAAAGAAAGCGUACAAUAAGCAUUACUGGAGACGAAGAUUCCGAAAAAGAUGGAACUGAGAAUUAUUCAAAGACCAGCAUAAGGCUUACUGGUGUUGAUAAGGGAUCUAAGAAGAAAGGAAUUCAGAAUGAUAACCAUGAGCAAGUGAACAAAUUAUCACUUUCAAAAACUAUAAAGCAAGAAUCAGAGGAUGAUGAACUCACUAUUGACCAGACUAAAAGGGGUAGGAGACGGAGCACAGGUCGUGCUGCACAUCUUGACGAUGAAUCAAAAGCUGAAAGUAGUCAGGAAAUAAACAAGUCCAAGUCUAUGGAAUCAAGCCCCAAGAGGAAGCGUGUUGUACGCAAAUGCGUCGGUGUUGAUCAGGAGCACAAUGAUUCAAGGCCUAAGACAAGGCUUAGUUGUGUCGAUAAAAAAUCACUGAGCAAAGGCAUUCAGAAGUCUGGUGUAUUAAGGACUCGAAAGACAAGUCGCUAA